UAGCUCAGUUGGUUAGAGCAUGGUGCUAAUAACGCCAAGGUCACAGGUUCAAUCCCUCU
Molecule: transfer RNA, 59 nt
Filed under: Pelecanus crispus (Dalmatian pelican)
Lineage: Eukaryota; Metazoa; Chordata; Aves; Pelecaniformes; Pelecanidae
Rfam family: tRNA
About the family: Transfer RNA (tRNA) molecules are approximately 80 nucleotides in length. Their secondary structure includes four short double-helical elements and three loops (D, anti-codon, and T loops). Further hydrogen bonds mediate the characteristic L-shaped molecular structure. tRNAs have two regions of fundamental functional importance: the anti-codon, which is responsible for specific mRNA codon recognition, and the 3' end, to which the tRNAs corresponding amino acid is attached (by aminoacyl-tRNA synthetases). tRNAs cope with the degeneracy of the genetic code in two manners: having more than one tRNA (with a specific anti-codon) for a particular amino acid; and 'wobble' base-pairing, i.e. permitting non-standard base-pairing at the 3rd anti-codon position.
Source: Rfam by way of RNAcentral